This is a long non-coding RNA of Eubalaena glacialis (North Atlantic right whale), 619 nucleotides long. RefSeq lists it as uncharacterized. Lineage: Eukaryota; Metazoa; Chordata; Mammalia; Artiodactyla; Balaenidae. The record is from RefSeq and is a predicted model, not a curated record. The transcript has 2 exons.
GCGUUGCUCCUGGCGCGUUCUUGGAGGAGCGGUGCAGGCGCCGAGGCUGCGGCUGGGAGUCGUCCGGCCGGUCCCUACCGGGUUGCGUGACGGGUCUGAAAAGGGGGUCUGCACGUUGCUAAGUAGUGUUUCCUGCAGUGGGCUGUCAGGAGUCCUCUGAUGGAGAGCUGACCUAGUCUGUGCUGCCAGACAGAAAGGAACCUUGAUCAGCAAUGCGCGCUCGAGGCGCAGCAGGAUCAUUUAAAAAUCUAAGACAGGACUUCCCUGAUGGUGCAGUGGUUAAGAAUCUGCCUGCCAAUGCAGGGGACACGGGUUUGAGCCCUGGUCCAGGAAGAUUCCACAUGCCGUGGAGCAGCUAAGCCCAUGCGCCACAACUACUGAGCCUGUGCUCUAGAGCCCACGAGCCACAACUACUGAAGCGCAUGUGCCACAACUACUGAAGCCCGUGUGCCUAGAGCCCGUGCUCCGCAACGAGAAGCUACCGCAGUGAGAAGCCUGUGCACCACAACAAAGAGUAGCCCCUGCUCGUCGCAACUAAAGAAAGCCUGCGCGCAGUAAUGAAGACACAACGCAGCCCAAAAUAAACAAACAAAUAAAUAAAUUUAUUAAAAAACAAAAA